UACUAUUGCUGGCGAUGACUCUGGUGU
RNAcentral lists this small RNA (27 nucleotides) under Bombyx mori (domestic silkworm). RNAcentral describes it as "ovarian small RNA-21344". Lineage: Eukaryota; Metazoa; Arthropoda; Insecta; Lepidoptera; Bombycidae. The record is from RNAcentral.